Long non-coding RNA from Equus quagga, 5704 nucleotides. RefSeq lists it as uncharacterized. Lineage: Eukaryota; Metazoa; Chordata; Mammalia; Perissodactyla; Equidae. The record is from RefSeq and is a predicted model, not a curated record. The transcript is spliced from 3 exons.
UGACCUUAAGCAAAGCCCCUUAACCUCCCUGAGCCUAUAAAAUGGAAAUAAUAAUCCAUUUAGCAUUGGAUUGUAAUAAGGAUUAACUGAAAUAAUUUCAUAAAGCAAUGAGCACAGGGCCUGGCACGUGCUCAAUAAAUUGUUGAGUAAUUUGUUGCUGUUAAUUUUAUUAUUAUUAUAGAAGGCUCUCUUUUGAAAAAAAAUCCAGGUGGAACAGGGCCUAAAGACGUAUUCUUGAUGAGGAGGAUGGUAUGAAAAUCAGUAGGAAUUGUCAAAGCCCAACUUAGCCCACAGCAGUGUCCCUUGCUCUUUCCUUCUCGUCUUCUCUCCUAUUCUCAUGAAAGCUACUUUCUGUGUUUCAUCACACUCGUAACUCUUGGUAUGGAAAAACCCAGCUGAACCGCUUUCUAAAACCCUAAUUAAAAUCUUGUUAAAAAUCUUCCAAAUACACAUCACUCUUUCUUGACUUAAUUAAUUAAACAUAGAAUAUAAAAAUCUGGACCUUCUGAUUUAGGAUUUUGCAAAGGUCCUAGGCUAUUACUGAAAAUAUCAGUAAUCACUGUAACAUACCAUAUAUUUAUUUCCAAAACUAAAUCUCUGAUAGCAACUUAAUUUGCUGUCAUUAGCCUUUCACAAAAUUGAGUGUGGCAUCAAUUCCAGUUUGCAAAAAGUUCUGGCUAGUAAAACUCGACUGUAAAAGUCCCCUCUCUUUGACAAUGGUGACAUCUAAGGAAAAGAAUAAGUACAACCUCUUCAUUUGAUAUCCUUAAAUGUUCUCUCAGGGUAGACAUGAAGAAUCACCGUGCAGAAACUGAUUCUAUUUCAAAUGUACACGUUCCAUUCAGCAACCGGUCUUAACUACCAACAGAAGCAGGAGAGGUUCUAAAACGCCUAUCUUUUAAAAAAAGUGAAGACUAGCCAAGCCCUCUGUGACAAGAACCUGACUAAUGUCAGUGUGUGGAUUCCAGUUAUGGCCUGGAUUGCUGGACAAGGUACUAUCAUCUUGAAUCUAAAAGUACACCACACUACUUAGAUCCCAAAUAAUUGAGAGUUUGGUUGUUGGUUUUAAUUUUCCUUGGCUCCUUCCUCACGCGUGGUGGAGGUGGUGGGAAAGGUUAGGGCGGGCUUGGAAAAGAAGGAGAGUGUGUCCCCUAGAGCAGCAAUAAAGGUCUGCAGAGCAAUCCUCUCAACUAUAAAAAACUCUUCCUUCCCAAAAAGUGCAAUCUGGUUUGGGAAACCGACAUUAAUUCAACAAAACACUACAAAAAAAUGUAGCUCUUAUUACACGCUAGCACUGUUCUACAAGCUAGAGAUACAAAGACAGACAAAAAGAUGCUAAAGAUACAAAGUUCACAGCCCCAAGAGCUUAAGUCUAGUGGGAGGAACAAACCUGUAUUCAACCACAACACAGUGAACAAUAGCUGAGUAACAGAUGGAGCUCAAACAGAGCAGGUACAACUCGGGGCAGGAAGACUACAGAAGCGCUAACAGGCUGCCUACAGGAUGCAGGUGGCCCAUUCCGAGGUUAAGUAUUUUUUUAAGGAAAAACUCAACUUCCGGACUAAAAACCCUAAGUUCUGAACGUGAGGGCUUUUAUGUUAAGGUUCUUAUACAUUAUACACACACACAAUAAUAACCCCCCCCACAGGGAAAUUAGCUCAUUUUCAGAACAUGAUUCACCAUCAUUCACACCUGCUCAAUUUAAGACCCUCCCCAAACAGGCAUUACAGUGAAGACAAUGUGGCAGCAACCGUGCAAAACCUAGGACAAAGAGACUUCUGUUGCUUUAUGAACAAUAUAAAGCAGUACGCAUACUUCUGGAUGUAUUUAAUUAUUAGACUGUCAGUCCUUUUUACACUGUGUUAAGAUGGAUACUGAAUGCAGAAUAAAGCCCUAAACACUUGCAGUUUUCAUAUUUAAAUCAGGAAAAAAUCUCCAAUUUACAAAGGCUAAUGUCUAUUUUUGGAAAACAAACGAAAAUUACACAUUUGGAUUUACAGAUUUCUGCUAUCCAUUCAUGUCAGGAUCCCCAAAGCCACCUUUAUUCCACAACUAACUUUCCACCCUUUCUUUCUAAGGGCAUACCAAGUUUUUUUUUUUUUAAGGUUAUAGCUUUCGAAAACUGGAAAUAGAAAUUUUUAACCGCCCAACAGUUGGAAAAGGUUCUCAUACUACCCUUUGACAUUUCCAAUUUAUCACUGUAUUUAAUACUUUUUUUUUUUUGUACCAUCCAACACCCUUCAUCUAACAAGGUCCAAGGCUUCCUGAACACUGCUUUGUAAGCUGCCUCGCAGACAAACCCUGUGAAACCUGAGGUCGCCACACCAGCGGCAGGAUGCAGGUCACUGGACCACGGCAGCCCACUCUGCAGUCAACAGUGCGGGUCACUUUACGCUGACAGAGCUGCUCUCCAGCACCUCCCCCGGCACACACACACCCAAAGCACAGGAGAGUGUCCAUUUCACAAGGUGUCCGGCACUGCUUUCCUUAAAACGAAGCUUCUAUCUGGAAGGUCACCUUGGUCCCCGCGCGGCUCGGGACCGAGCGCCUGGGCUCUGUGACAUCAGCGUUGGCUUCUCAACCGCUGACCUUCAGGCCCCAGAGCUUGGCCCGACCCUAGAACGGCCACCGCCCUUCACACCGCGGAGGGCGGCGUCCCUCCCACCGCCGCGCCGAAUUCGGGCUUGGCGACUCGCUGGGGGGUCCCGGGCGCCCCCCACCCGCCCCGACGGCCAAGCGCCCGGAGCCCGCCCCACGGCCGCCCCUGAGGGCUGUCGUCCCGACAGGCUCGGUCCACUCCGCCCGCCGAGCCCUCGCCGAGCCCCGCUGCUGUGCUGACUUCAGCCCACAUCGCACCCCAGCCACCAGGGAACUUUCCAGAACGUUGGCCCUCUCUGGGAAGUCCCGAGUCGCCAUCCAGGAGGGAGCGCCCACGGGAGGCCUGGCGGGCUCGGGGCCGGGCCGCACGCGGAGCGCAACCUUCGGGCCCAGCCUCCGGAAGCGCGCGCGCCCCAGCACUAUUCAGUCGCCGCGGGGCGCCACCCCUCGGGCCGGGCCCGCCGCUCCAGGGGCACCGACGGCGGCGCAGCAAGACACGGGAGAGCACCGCGCCCCCAGCUCGCCAGGAGCCCCCUGCCCGCCUCGACCUCGCCCGACCCCCCAGAGGCAGCCCGAGCUAAAAUUAGCGCCGAGCCCGCCGCGCGCUCACGUGCGCCCCGCGGGACGGGGUGCGGGUGAGUCACGGCCCCGCCCCCCUCGCCGAGGACGCGCUGACGUCAGCCGCUUCCCCGAAGGAUGACGUCAGCGCGCCUCGGGGAGGCCGCGAGGCCUCCGUAGAACGUUCACUGAGUUUCGAUGUCUUAAAGGGACCAGGCCUUGGAUCGUGAAAGAUCUAGAGCGAUGACUGCUCUCGCUCACCCGUGGAGGCAGAACUUGUCUUAUAUCUCUUUGUCCGGAGAAGUGUUGGCUAAGAUGAUGUUGAAAAAAAGAAGAGCACCUGAACCUCAUUGGAAGCUCCCCGAAGCCUCAGAACCUCCUCCUGGAAGCCCUCUGUGAUUAACCAGAAUCUCAUCCUUACUCAAAAGUCAGGAAGUUUUCUAUGGCCCUUGACUCCCUACCCCUUCACUUCCAGCUGCUCCCCAUAUGCUUAUAUCUCUGCUCGUAGAGAAAGGCUGUGCUUUGAAUGUUUAUGUAUAUAAUCCAUCAAUUUAGGGCAGCUUGGCCCAUUUAUCUGUGUCCGAACUCUGCCAUUAGUCAUGUGACCUGCAGCAAGUUAUUUAACUCUGGGUCUGAAAUUCCUGAACUGGUCCCCAAACCCUCCUCUUAUGCUAAUACUGCCUGCGAAAUUUCCAGAGGUUCGAUCUUACAGCUGGAUCUUUCAGCCCUGUCGCAAUAGCCUCACAGGGAGCUAACAAUUUACUGAGGUGUAAACUAUGUGGCAGGUGUUUUCAUUAUCCUCUUUGUCCCCCUCGUUUAACCCUAUCGCCCGCCCCUCUGAGGUUGAUAUUAAUUGCCCCAUUUUACUGACAAAGAAGGAAAUCUAAAUGUGUUUCCCUAGGUUACACAGCUAAAGAAUGGCAAACAGGAAGUCAUUCCCAGGUCAGCUGGACUCUGAGUCUGUGUUUUGGUGACGAAGAUGGGCUAUGAAAUCUAUGUCUUAUUCGGGGUUUUCUGGAGCCUGUGACCAAACCCCUGGUGUGUGUUCCCACCACAACCUCAGGAGGAGAUGGAGAAAACCACAGACGGCCUCAGCCGUGAGGUUUUGACUUUUUAUCUCCCAGCCUUCACUUCCCAUCAUCUUCCUAUCUCAGAAGCCCCAUUUAAUGUUGUUAAGAGCCGUAAAUGUAACUGGCCACUAAUGUGGAAGGAUUGUGAUCUCCAGCAAACGGCCCCAGCAAAGAAAGGAGCAGGAAUCCUGGGUCUGUUCCCAACCGUGCCAGUGACUCACUGGAUGACACAAAGUAAUGUGGUUCUUUUGUUGGGGGGCGAGAUGUGGGAAGACGACGCACACAGCUGCUCGCCUGACAGAGGUGAAAGGGUGGAGGAGAAGCCAUUUGACAGGCUCCCAGCAUAGUGGAGGCUCUGGGGUCCCUGGGUGAAUCCAGUUCCAUAGUAACUGCUUAGCAAUGGCCGGCUGGGUCAGCCCUGAGCUCUGGCCCACUUGAGCCCCUGCCUCCGAUGGAGCCGCUAAGAUGGCGUGGGCUGGAUUAUGGCACUUACCCUUCAUGACAUCAUUCUCAUUGGUUAGGAAUGCGCCCUGGUUGUUCCUAACUCCACUUUAAUAACUUGUUAUAGAUCUGCCCUCCAGGAAUUUGUUUGAAACUUUCUUUAAUCUAUUUAUAUUUCAGCCUGUGCAGCCUUUUCAGGCGGCAAGUAGACUGACCAUUUAUGUAAAAGCACUUAGGUCCUAAAACACAGAAAGUGCUAUAUUAGGGUUCUUAUCAUAAUAAAACGUUUGUAAUUAUAAUGUAUUUAAUAAUGAUAUUAUAAUUUGAUGAUAACAGUGAAUUCAGGUGGUCUCACAGGCUUAUUUUUAGUCACUCACUCUGUUUGUCUUUGUCUUUAUCUCCCCACGCACCACUCCCUAGCCAUCAAAAAGUAUUUAUUAAUGGAGUGAGGGGCUGUCAUGGGUAUAACAAUGCAUGCAAACUUAGAUAAACACAUUCAGUGUCCUCUAAAGACUUACCAUCUACCACCAACAUACAGUAGGUGCUCAAUAAAUACUUGUUGGGCGAAUGGAUGGAUGGAAGGAAUUAAAAAAACCUGCGUGGUAACUGGUGAGACAUAUUAGGAAUGACUAUUUUGGGGGUUGGAGAGCAAACCUGAGAGCAUCAUGGGCAAGGAGGGAAAAGGGAACAUCCUGACUUUCUGGUCAAUGCGCACGUGUGGGCUCUCCUCAGAUUGGCCCUAGAGCUCAUCCUGGAGGAAGCGCUGGUUUCCAGGCUGCUGAAAUGAUGCCUAGAGGAGGCAGGCCAAGGGGCACCCCCAUGGCAGGUGCCAUAUGGGUUGCAGGAGUGAGGAGGCAGGUACGGGGUCCAGAAGAGAAAGACCGGUCCCUGUGGCUAUCUCUAUUUUCAGUAGGAACCACACCGGAAUGUUUUAAAAAUCCAAUGACUCAGUAGGUGAAUGGCCAAAUAAAUUGUGGUACAUCCAAACAAUGGAAUAUUAUUCAAUGCCAAAAAGAAAUGAGCUAUCAAGCCAUGAA